RNAcentral lists this ribosomal RNA (450 nucleotides) under uncultured bacterium. Its description in RNAcentral is "partial 16S ribosomal RNA". It matches the Rfam family "Bacterial small subunit ribosomal RNA", at positions 354 to 796 of the family's 1533-position model. The record is from RNAcentral.
GUGAGGAAUCUUCCGCAAUGGACGAAAGUCUGACGGAGCAACGCCGCGUGAGUGAAGAAGGUUUUCGGAUCGUAAAGCUCUUUCGUUAGGGACGAACGUGCUCUUUGUGAAUAAUGAGGAGUAAUGACGGUACCUAAAUAAGAAGCCACGGCUAACUACGUGCCAGCAGCCGCGGUAAUACGUAGGUGGCAAGCGUUGUCCGGAAUUAUUGGGCGUAAAGCGCGCGCAGGCGGGAUAUCAAGUCUGGCUUAAAAGUGCGAGGCUCAACCUCGUGAGGGGACAGAAACUGGUAUUCUUGAGUGUCGGAGAGGAAAGUGGAAUUCCAAGUGUAGCGGUGAAAUGCGUAGAGAUUUGGAAGAACACCAGUGGCGAAGGCGACUUUCUGGACGAUGUCUGACGCUGAGGCGCGAAAGCUAGGGGAGCGAACGGGAUUAGAUACCCUAGUAGUCC